AUUGAACGCUGGCGGCAGGCCUAACACAUGCAAGUCGGGCGGAUGAAGGGAGCUUGCUCCUGGAUUCAGCGGCGGACGGGUGAGUAAUGCCUAGGAAUCUGCCCGGUAGUGGGGGAUAACGUCCGGAAACGGGCGCUAAUACCGCAUACGUCCUGAGGGAGAAAGUGGGGGAUCUUCGGACCUCACGCUAUCAGAUGAGCCUAGGUCGGAUUAGCUAGUUGGUGGGGUAAAGGCCUACCAAGGCGACGAUCCGUAACUGGUCUGAGAGGAUGAUCAGUCACACUGGAACUGAGACACGGUCCAGACUCCUACGGGAGGCAGCAGUGGGGAAUAUUGGACAAUGGGCGAAAGCCUGAUCCAGCCAUGCCGCGUGUGUGAAGAAGGCCUUCGGAUUGUAAAGCACUUUAAGUUGGGAGGAAGGGCAGUAAGUUAAUACCUUGCUGUUUUGACGUUACCAACAGAAUAAGCACCGGCUAACUUCGUG
This 484-nucleotide ribosomal RNA is filed under the name uncultured bacterium. Its description in RNAcentral is "partial 16S ribosomal RNA". It matches the Rfam family "Bacterial small subunit ribosomal RNA", at positions 30 to 507 of the family's 1533-position model. The record is from RNAcentral.